CAAGGCAGUGGCAGUGGUGCAGGUGAGGAAGCAGACAUGCAAUUCUUCUAGUCUUGGAGCUGGCACACCAUCACUUUCAUUUCUUCUUAAUGGCCAAAGCCAGAGUCAAAUGGAGUCUAGAAGCUGACCCAGAAACUAGAAUCUUUCCUUGUGAGAAUGUUGAGGGCCAGGUGCGGUGGCUCAAGCCUGUAAUCCAAGAACUUUUGGAGGCUGAGGUGGGCAGAUCACUUGAGCCCAGGGGUUCGAGACCAGCCUGGGCAACAAAGACCCUGUCUCUAUUUAAAAAAA
This 288-nucleotide long non-coding RNA is filed under the name Homo sapiens (human). RNAcentral describes it as "HSALNT0142968". The record is from RNAcentral. Lineage: Eukaryota; Metazoa; Chordata; Mammalia; Primates; Hominidae.